UAUGAAGAACGUAGCGAAAUGCGAUAAGUAAUGUGAAUUGCAGAAUUCAGUGAAUCAUCGAAUCUUUGAACGCACAUUGCGCCCGCCAGCACUCUGGCGGGCAUGCCUGUUCGAGCGUCAUUUCAACCAUCAAGCCCCCAGGGGCUUGUGCUGGGGCCCUGCGGCUGCCCGCAGGCCCUGAAAACCAGUGGCGGGCUCGCUAGUCACACCGAGCGCAGUAGCACAUCUCGCUCAGGGCGUGCGGCGGGCUCCUGCCGUGAAACCCCCCACUGUAACCCCAAAGGUUGACCUCGGAUCAGGUAGGAAUACCCGCUGAACUUAAGCAUAUCAAUAAGCGGAGGA
Molecule: unclassified non-coding RNA, 342 nt
Filed under: soil metagenome
Description: partial contains 5.8S ribosomal RNA, internal transcribed spacer 2, and large subunit ribosomal RNA
Rfam family: 5.8S ribosomal RNA (bases 2-120)
Source: RNAcentral